This 150-nucleotide ribosomal RNA is filed under the name uncultured soil bacterium. RNAcentral describes it as "partial 16S ribosomal RNA". It matches the Rfam family "Bacterial small subunit ribosomal RNA", at positions 29 to 176 of the family's 1533-position model. The record is from RNAcentral.
AACGAACGUUGGCGGCGUGGAUUAGGCAUGCAAGUCGAACGAGAACCGGGUAGCAAUAUCUGGGGAAAGUGGCGAAAGGGGCAGUAAGGCGUGGGUAACCUACCCCCGGGACGGGGAUAGCCAUCCUAACGGGUGGAUAAUACCCGGCGA